Molecule: long non-coding RNA, 221 nt
Filed under: Mytilus galloprovincialis (Mediterranean mussel)
Lineage: Eukaryota; Metazoa; Mollusca; Bivalvia; Mytilida; Mytilidae
Source: RNAcentral
CGGAAUAAAAUCAUUGUGGAAAACAAAUAAUCAAGGAAAAUUGUACAAUAAAACCGGUUACUCAUGAAUGAUAGAGGGGUGAAAGAUCCACGAGGGACAGUCAAACUCAAAGAUUGAAAAUAAACUAACAACGCAAUGGCUAAAAAAUAAAAAGACAAACAGAUAAAAAAAGUACAAAAGACACGACAUAGAAAAGUAAAGACUUAGCAACACGAACCCGA